RNAcentral lists this small RNA (666 nucleotides) under Pan troglodytes (chimpanzee). RNAcentral's name for it is "retained intron". Lineage: Eukaryota; Metazoa; Chordata; Mammalia; Primates; Hominidae. The record is from RNAcentral.
AGGGCUUGGGGGUGAUGCAGGCACAGCAGAUGGCCGAGGCAGGACACUGCAGAGGAAGAUAAUGAAGAGAUCUCUAGGCAGGAAAUCCACAGCUCCUCCUGCACCCAGAAUGGGAAGGAAAGAAGGCCAAGGGAAUUCAGAUUCUGACCAGCCAGGCCCUAAGAAAAAAUUUAAAGCUCCCCAGAGCAAGGCCUUGGCAGCCAGCUUUUCAGAGGGAAAAGAAGUUAGAACAGUGCCAAAGAACCUGGGCCUAUCAGCGUGUAAGGGGGCCUGCCCCUCAUCUGCGAAAGAAGAGCCCAGACACCGGGAACCCCUGACCCAGGAGGCUGGAAGUGUCCCCCUUGAGGACGAAGCCUCCAGUGACCUGGACCUGGAGCAACUCAUGGAAGAUGUUGGGAGAGAGCUGGGGCAGAGCGGGGAGCUGCAGCACAGCAACAGUGAUGGCGAGGACUUCCCCGUGGCGCUGUUUGGGAAGUAGCUGGUGCUCCUCUGCUCCCUCUUUUUCUCCCUUCUCUGGGGCGCAGGAGGGAGAAGUUGCUAAGUGCUGGGUCUGUUCAUUGGCUAUGAGGUUCAAAUGUGUGUGGUGCAGUUUCUGUGUUAAUAAAGCAGGUUACGGUCGACUGGCUUGGCUGGUCUCUAACUGCCCCCUGUUGGCUGCUCUCCCUC